RNAcentral lists this ribosomal RNA (493 nucleotides) under uncultured bacterium. Its description in RNAcentral is "partial 16S ribosomal RNA". It matches the Rfam family "Bacterial small subunit ribosomal RNA", at positions 29 to 507 of the family's 1533-position model. The record is from RNAcentral.
ACGAACGCUGGCGGCGUGCUUAACACAUGCAAGUCGAACGGUGAAGCGCCUUCCUUUUUGGUGGGUGUGGAUGAGUGGCGAACGGGUGAGUAACACGUGAGUAACCUGCCCCCUUCUUCUGGAUAACCGCAUGAAAGUGUGGCUAAUACGGGAUAUUCUGGGUCUGUCGCAUGAUGGGUCUGGGAAAGAUAUUGUUUCGGUGGGGGAUGGGCUCGCGGCCUAUCAGCUUGUUGGUGGGGUGAUGGCCUACCCAGGCGGUGACGGGUAGCCGGCCUGAGAGGGUGGACGGUCACACGGGGACUGAGACACGGCCCAGACUCCUACGGGAGGCAGCAGGGGGGAAUAUUGCACAAUGGGCGCAAGCCUGAUGCAGCGACGCCGCGUGAGGGAUGGAGGCCUGCGGGUUGUGAACCUCUUUCGCCAGUGAAGCAGGCCUGCCUCGUUUGUGGGUGGGUUGACGGUAGCUGGAUAAGAAGCGCCGGCUAACUACGUG